CCUACGGGUGACAGCAGUGGGGAAUAUUGGACAAUGGGGGAAACCCUGAUCCAGCCAUGCCGCGUGAAUGAUGAAGGCCUUCGGGUUGUAAAGUUCUUUUGGUGGGGACGAUGAUGACGGUACCCACAGAAUAAGCUCCGGCUAACUUCGUGCCAGCAGCCGCGGUAAUACGAAGGGAGCUAGCGUUGUUCGGAAUUACUGGGCGUAAAGGGCGCGUAGGCGGUUCGACAAGUCAGAUGUGAAAGCCCUGGGCUCAACCCGGGAAUUGCGUUUGAUACUGUCGUGCUUGAAUUCGGGAGAGGUUGGUAGAAUUCCCAGUGUAGAGGUGAAAUUCGUAGAUAUUGGGAAGAAUACCCGUGGCGAAGGCGGCCAACUGGACCGACAUUGACGCUGAGGCGCGAAAGCGUGGGGAGCAAACA
This 419-nucleotide ribosomal RNA is filed under the name uncultured prokaryote. Its description in RNAcentral is "bacterial SSU rRNA". It matches the Rfam family "Bacterial small subunit ribosomal RNA", at positions 338 to 774 of the family's 1533-position model. The record is from RNAcentral.